GACGAACGCUGGCGGCGUGCUUAACACAUGCAAGUCGAACGGAAAGGCCCUGCUUUUGUGGGGUGCUCGAGUGGCGAACGGGUGAGUAACACGUGAGUAACCUGCCCUUGACUUUGGGAUAACUUCAGGAAACUGGGGCUAAUACCGGAUAGGAGCUCCUGCUGCAUGGUGGGGGUUGGAAAGUUUCGGCGGUUGGGGAUGGACUCGCGGCUUAUCAGCUUGUUGGUGGGGUAGUGGCUUACCAAGGCUGUGACGGGUAGCCGGCCUGAGAGGGUGACCGGCCACAUUGGGACUGAGAUACGGCCCAGACUCCUACGGGAGGCAGCAGGGGGGAAUAUUGCACAAUGGGCGGAAGCCUGAUGCAGCAACGCCGCGUGCGGGAUGACGGCCUUCGGGUUGUAAACCGCUUUCGCCUGUGACGAAGCGUGAGUGACGGUAAUGGGUAAAGAAGCACCGGCUAACUACGUG
This 468-nucleotide ribosomal RNA is filed under the name uncultured bacterium. RNAcentral describes it as "partial 16S ribosomal RNA". It matches the Rfam family "Bacterial small subunit ribosomal RNA", at positions 28 to 507 of the family's 1533-position model. The record is from RNAcentral.